UCCCCCUUAGCUCAGUGGUAGAGCGCGUCACUAGUAAUCAAAAUACGAAAUGACGAGGUCAGUCGUUCAAGUCGGCUAGGGGGAA
Molecule: non-coding RNA, 85 nt
Organism: Tephrocybe sp. NHM501043
Lineage: Eukaryota; Fungi; Basidiomycota; Agaricomycetes; Agaricales; Lyophyllaceae
Source: the annotation of a GenBank genome assembly